Molecule: ribosomal RNA, 253 nt
Filed under: uncultured bacterium
Lineage: Bacteria
Description: partial 16S ribosomal RNA
Rfam family: Bacterial small subunit ribosomal RNA
Source: RNAcentral
UACGUAGGGUGCGAGCGUUAAUCGGAAUUACUGGGCGUAAAGCGUGCGCAGGCGGUUUUGUAAGCCAGAUGUGAAAGCCCCGGGCUUAACCUGGGAAUGGCAUUUGGGACUGCAAGGCUUGAGUGCGGCAGAGGAGACUGGAAUUCCUGGUGUAGCAGUGAAAUGCGUAGAUAUCGAGAGGAACACCUGCGGCGAAGGCGGGUUGCUGGGCUGACACUGACGCUGAUGCGCGAAAGCCAGGGGAGCGAACGGG